GACGAACGCUGGCGGCGUGCUUAACACAUGCAAGUCGAACGGAAAGGCUCCAGCUUGCUGGAGUACUCGAGUGGCGAACGGGUGAGUAACACGUGGGUAAUCUGCCCUGCACUCUGGGAUAAGCCUGGGAAACUGGGUCUAAUACUGGAUAUGACCUUUCUCCUUAUGGGGUUUGGUGGAAAGUUUUUCGGUGUAGGAUGAGCCCGCGGCCUAUCAGCUUGUUGGUGGGGUGAUGGCCUACCAAGGCGACGACGGGUAGCCGGCCUGAGAGGGUGAUCGGCCACAUUGGGACUGAGAUACGACCCAGACUCAUACGGGAGGCAGCAGUGGGGAAUAUUGCACAAUGGGCGGCAGGAUGAUGCAGCGACGCCGCGUGAGGGAUGACGGCCUUCGGGUUGUAAACCUCUUUCGGCAGGGACGAAGCGUAAGUGACGGUACCUGCAGAAGAAGCACCGGCUAACUAUGUG
RNAcentral lists this ribosomal RNA (467 nucleotides) under uncultured bacterium. RNAcentral describes it as "partial 16S ribosomal RNA". It matches the Rfam family "Bacterial small subunit ribosomal RNA", at positions 28 to 507 of the family's 1533-position model. The record is from RNAcentral.